GGGAGCAAAAUGCCUUCAGGGAAUAUUAUAAACUCUUCUGGUCAAGGUCUCUGUCUUUAUGGCCCACUUGUAUUCAGUGAGGUUAAAGAAGUUCUGAGAUCACACCCAAGAAAAUGGACAUCCAAGCUAUCUUUUAUUCACUACAUACUGCAUCAAAAAUAAACUUACUUCCCUUUGAGGAACAAAUACGGUGUUCAAGGAAAAAAAUAAUCUGUAUCUG
Non-coding RNA from Anas platyrhynchos (mallard), 220 nucleotides. The record is from RefSeq and is a predicted model, not a curated record. NCBI's taxonomy places the organism in Eukaryota, Metazoa, Chordata, Aves, Anseriformes, Anatidae.